RNAcentral lists this transfer RNA (69 nucleotides) under Marmota marmota marmota (Alpine marmot). It matches the Rfam family "tRNA". Rfam says of the family: Transfer RNA (tRNA) molecules are approximately 80 nucleotides in length. Their secondary structure includes four short double-helical elements and three loops (D, anti-codon, and T loops). RNAcentral also lists the same sequence under 3 other names. Lineage: Eukaryota; Metazoa; Chordata; Mammalia; Rodentia; Sciuridae. The record is from Rfam by way of RNAcentral.
GGGGCUGUAGCUCAGUGGUAGAGCGCUUGCCUAGCAUGUGUGAGGCACUGGGUUCAAUCCUCAGCACCA